RNAcentral lists this ribosomal RNA (253 nucleotides) under uncultured bacterium. RNAcentral describes it as "partial 16S ribosomal RNA". It matches the Rfam family "Bacterial small subunit ribosomal RNA", at positions 524 to 776 of the family's 1533-position model. The record is from RNAcentral.
UACGAAGGGGGCUAGCGUUGCUCGGAAUUACUGGGCGUAAAGGGCGCGUAGGCGGCCUGCUAAGUCGGAUGUGAAAACUCUGGGCUCAACCCAGAGCCUGCAUUCGAUACUGACGGGCUAGAGUACUGGAGGGGAAAGCGGAAUUCCUGGUGUAGCGGUGAAAUGCGUAGAUAUCAGGAGGAACACCGGUGGCGAAGGCGGCUUUCUGGACAGUAACUGACGCUGAGGCGCGAAAGCUAGGGGAGCAAACAGG